Long non-coding RNA from Microcebus murinus (gray mouse lemur), 633 nucleotides. RefSeq lists it as uncharacterized. The record is from RefSeq and is a predicted model, not a curated record. Lineage: Eukaryota; Metazoa; Chordata; Mammalia; Primates; Cheirogaleidae.
CUAAUUCACUUUAAAGAAAAGUUGGCUAUGAAACAGGUUUCUAUCAAUUGAAUUUAAUGGGGUGAAUCAUAUUUUCCCAUUAAGUUCCACUUAAAAAUUUGUAAUAUAGAAUCAAAUUUGGCCUAUUGCUCAAAGAUGUCCCUAGACUACUUAUACUCAUUUAAGAAAAAGGUCUAUCUGUUCAAUUCAAACAACAAAAAAUGUAUUCCAAACAGGUCACAAAAUUGAAAUUCCAAAUAAGUCUUCCAAAUUCCAAAUUCUGCUACAUUGACAGCAGACCUAUAGUAAGGCAAAAGCCACCAAAAAUCACCUGGAAGAGCUAUUCUAGUUAAACAUAUACUUGCAGCUGAACAAACGGAGGGUAAAAAAGAACGAUCUACUUUUACAGCUGUUGACAUGGAAAAAAAAAGAAGCCAUCAUCAAAUAUUCCAGAAGUUGCCAAUUACUUGAUGCCUCAAGAGUAGCCAAUCUGGCUGGAGCAUGCAGGCAUACGCGAGGCACCACGCAUCAUCUUGAGUCACCAAAAAGAGCUGCAGAUGCAGUGUCCCAGAGAAAUUUUAAAACCUCAUGUAUGUUUACAUUAAAACCUAUGGAGUAAAGCCAAAAAUCAUAGGUAUCACUAAAGAACCUCAA